Molecule: ribosomal RNA, 828 nt
Filed under: uncultured bacterium
Lineage: Bacteria
Description: bacterial SSU rRNA
Rfam family: Bacterial small subunit ribosomal RNA
Source: RNAcentral
AACGAACGCUGGCGGCGUGCCUAACACAUGCAAGUCGAACGAGAAACUUCCCGCUUGCGGGAGGGAGUAAAGUGGCGCACGGGUGAGUAACGCGUGGGUAACCUGCCCUCGAAUCUGGGAUAACUCUGCGAAAGCGGUGCUAAUACCGGAUAUGGUUUCGAAGACUUCGGUUUUCGGGAUUAAAGGUGACCUCUUCAUGAAAGUUGCCGUUCAAGGAUGGGCCCGCGUACCAUUAGCUUGUUGGUAGGGUAAUGGCCUACCAAGGCUACGAUGGUUAGCUGGUCUGAGAGGAUGAUCAGCCACACUGGAACUGAAACACGGUCCAGACUCCUACGGGAGGCAGCAGUGAGGAGUUUUGCGCAAUGGGGGAAACCCUGACGCAGCAACGCCGCGUGAGCGAAGAAGGCCUUUGGGUCGUAAAGCCCUGUCAAGUGGGAAAAACGUCUACCGGUCAAUAGCCGGCAGAUCUGAUGGUACCAUUGAAGGAAGCACCGGCUAACUCCGUGCCAGCAGCCGCGGUAAUACGGAGGGUGCAAGCGUUGUUCGGAAUUAUUGGGCGUAAAGAGCGUGUAGGCGGUUUAGUAAGUCAGAUGUGAAAGCCCUGGGCUCAACCCGGGAAGUGCAUUUGAAACUGCUUUACUUGAGUAUGGGAGAGGAGAGUGGAAUUCCUGGUGUAGAGGUGAAAUUCGUAGAUAUCAGGAGGAACAUCUGUGGCGAAGGCGACUCUCUGGACCAAUACUGACGCUGAGACGCGAAAGCGUGGGUAGCAAACAGGAUUAGAUACCCUGGUAGUCCACGCCGUAAACGAUGAGAACUAGGUGUAGCGGG